This 1416-nucleotide long non-coding RNA is filed under the name Monodelphis domestica (gray short-tailed opossum). RNAcentral's name for it is "lncRNA (ENSMODG00000041076.1)". The record is from RNAcentral. Lineage: Eukaryota; Metazoa; Chordata; Mammalia; Didelphimorphia; Didelphidae.
GCAAAGAUACUGGAGGGAUUUGCCAUUUUUUUUCUCUAGCUCAUUUUACAGAUGAGGAGACUGAGGCAAACAGGGUGAAGUGACUUGCCCAGGGUCACCCAGCUAAGAUACUGGAGUGAUUGGCCAUUUCCUUCUCCAGCUCAUUUUACAGAUGAGAAAACUGAGGCUAGCAGGAUGAAGUGACUUCUCCGGGGGCACCCAGCUAGUAAGUGUCUGAGGCCAGAUCUGAACUCAGGAAGUCUAGUCUUCCUGUGCCCCUGACCUGGCACUCUCUUCCCUGCACCACCUUGGGCGUUUGGAGGGCAGGGCAACAAGUCAUUCUGCUGUAAUGUAGUGCCCUGCAUUUAAGAAAUGUUUGUGGACCAAUUUGUUCUUGGUCGUCUAAGCAGUAACGGCAGUUAAGUGAUGACUCUAGGCAAGGCACUCUGCCAGGAAGAGAUGCUAGAAAGGCCUGCCCUCAAGGAGCUUACAUCCUCCUAGGGGAGGGACUACACUAUAGACUUCAGAAAUAAAGAACUAUUUGGUCAUUUGAGGAAGGCAAGAAAGAGUAUUAAUAACUAGAGGGAAACAGAGCCAGUUUCACAUAGGAAAUGGCUGCACAUGUCAGCACCCAAAAUGAGCCUUUAAAUUAUGUGGUUUUGAGAGUUUGGCGUGAAGGAGGUGUGCCUUCUCAGCCUGGGGCACUGCUUGGGCAAAUGCACCAAUGGACAGAUCUCUUCUGAAAUUCAAUGGACUGGGGGCCUCGGCUGCUUCCAAGGGGCUGUAUUUUUCACAUUUUAAUCAUUCUCUAUCCCAGAGAGAUGAUCUCUAUCAGAGGCUGCAGCGGCCAACACUUCCCCUUCCUCACUUAUCAGUUUCUUCCACUGUCAAUAUCCCAGUAGCAUGAUAUUAAAUUAUUUAGUGUUUACUCUAAUUGGAUAUAUUUUAAGUACGCACCUUUAUUUUAAAAACAACUAUAAUUAGCCUUUGUUUUGACAUCAUCUUCAUUUCCAAAGAUACCAUUCCCUUCUCCUUUUCUUUGAACAGCUAGGUGGUUCAGUGGAUUGAACGCUGGCUCUGGAGUCUGGAAGGCUCAACUCUCUGAGUUCAAAUUCAGUCUCAGACACUUAAUAUCUGCAUGACUCUGAGAAAGUCAUUUUACCCUGUUUGCCUCAAUUUCCUCAUCUGUAAAAUGAACUGGAGAAGGAAAUAGCAAACUGCCAUACUUGUUGUGUGAUCCUGAGCAAGUCCCUUUACUCUGUUUGCCUCCUUUCCUCAUCUGUAAAAAGAGCUGGAGAAAGAAACAGCAAACCACUCCAAUAUCUGCCAAGAGAACCCCAGAUGGGAUCAUAAAGAGUCAGAAACAUUUGAAUAACAAGAAGUCCUUCUCUUAAGCCAGAGAAUUAUUCCUUGUCCCAGUGAAUAACAAUAAAAAAU